AUUACCCUUCUUCUCUUCCUCACCCUCGCAUGGCCGAAAGCAAUGGCUCCUCAAGCCAGAUAAAAUCCGACCGACCACCAUAUUUUGUUGGCCACUCCUCACUCCGUUCACUGCCAACGACAGCCCGAGGGGCCAAACGACUCCCUAAUCGACCUAAACCGCUCGAAACGAUUCUCCUAACCUCUCAUCUUCUCGACUGAAUAAUCCCCAAACCCAUGGACGCCAUUUGCUAACCAUAGAUCGGUGAAGCUCCACCUCUUGACCACCAUCCACGACAAUGGAUCAAACCCAAAGCCGCUUCUAAAACGAACCUGACCGAUCACACCUUCACUCCCGACAAUAACCCCGACGCUCGGCCAAGAUUUAGUUUUGUUUCAAAAAUUUUAUAAAGCUUAAUCUCAUCUACAACAAAACCCGUACAGAGUAUGGAUGGAACCAACAAGACCCUUUUUGCGUUCGAACUGCCCGGAUUCCGACAAUUGGAGCAACAACUUGACUAGGA
Hibiscus syriacus is the source of this 502-nucleotide long non-coding RNA. RefSeq lists it as uncharacterized. The record is from RefSeq and is a predicted model, not a curated record. NCBI's taxonomy places the organism in Eukaryota, Viridiplantae, Streptophyta, Magnoliopsida, Malvales, Malvaceae. The transcript is spliced from 3 exons.